Pelobates cultripes (western spadefoot toad) is the source of this 503-nucleotide non-coding RNA. The record is from the annotation of a GenBank genome assembly. Lineage: Eukaryota; Metazoa; Chordata; Amphibia; Anura; Pelobatidae.
UGGAAACUUGAUAAAGACCUGGGUACAGGUCGAAACGUUGCAGUGUCCAAUAAACCUGCUUAAAUCUAUCACAGUGAGUGCCUGAGAUUUUUUCUUUUAUACUAGGGGACACUGAGACACUAGGAGACAUGGGGACACUGGGAGACAUUGGGACACUGAGACACUGGGAGACUAGGGGACUUUGGGAGACUAGGAAACACUGAGACACUACGGACACUGGAACACUACGGACACUGAGAGACAACAAGGAUACUGGGAGACAUGGGGAUACUGAGAUACUAGGGACACUGACUGGGAGAUAUGGGACACUGGGAGUGCCCCAUGUCUCCCAGGUCUGAAAGUCCCCCAGUGUCCCCAUGUCUCUCAGUGUUCCCUAGUGUUUCAGUUUCCCCAUGUAGCCCAGUGUCCCCUAGUGUUUGUAUCCCCAUGUCUCCCAGUGUCGCUUAGAGUCUGUAUCCCCGUGUCUCCCAGUGUCGCUUACAGUCUGUGUCCCCGUGUCUCCC